This 730-nucleotide ribosomal RNA is filed under the name Pseudomonas sp. SMCC G983. RNAcentral's name for it is "bacterial SSU rRNA". It matches the Rfam family "Bacterial small subunit ribosomal RNA", at positions 20 to 744 of the family's 1533-position model. Lineage: Bacteria; Pseudomonadati; Pseudomonadota; Gammaproteobacteria; Pseudomonadales; Pseudomonadaceae. The record is from RNAcentral.
UGGCUCAGAUUGAACGCUGGCGGCAGGCCUAACACAUGCAAGUCGAGCGGAUGAAAGGAGCUUGCUCCUGGAUUCAGCGGCGGACGGGUGAGUAAUGCCUAGGAAUCUGCCUGGUAGUGGGGGACAACGUUUCGAAAGGAACGCUAAUACCGCAUACGUCCUACGGGAGAAAGCAGGGGACCUUCGGGCCUUGCGCUAUCAGAUGAGCCUAGGUCGGAUUAGCUAGUUGGUGAGGUAAUGGCUCACCAAGGCGACGAUCCGUAACUGGUCUGAGAGGAUGAUCAGUCACACUGGAACUGAGACACGGUCCAGACUCCUACGGGAGGCAGCAGUGGGGAAUAUUGGACAAUGGGCGAAAGCCUGAUCCAGCCAUGCCGCGUGUGUGAAGAAGGUCUUCGGAUUGUAAAGCACUUUAAGUUGGGAGGAAGGGUUGUAGAUUAAUACUCUGCAAUUUUGACGUUACCGACAGAAUAAGCACCGGCUAACUCUGUGCCAGCAGCCGCGGUAAUACAGAGGGUGCAAGCGUUAAUCGGAAUUACUGGGCGUAAAGCGCGCGUAGGUGGUUUGUUAAGUUGGAUGUGAAAUCCCCGGGCUCAACCUGGGAACUGCAUCCAAAACUGGCAAGCUAGAGUAUGGUAGAGGGUGGUGGAAUUUCCUGUGUAGCGGUGAAAUGCGUAGAUAUAGGAAGGAACACCAGUGGCGAAGGCGACCACUCUGGACUGAUACUGAC